UUCUUGCUCAACUCAAACGGGAUAGUUCUGGUGGAGAAGGUUCAACCUUAAUUAUGCAGUAUUGCUUCAGAAAUCAGAGACUAUAGUCUUCACAUUGUUUGCUUGUUCAUCAUUGUAAGCAAUUGUUUUACACGGCAUCAGCGCCUCCAAGCAUGUGGCCACCAUCAACAGCCAUAGCGUCUGCAUAGUUUGCUUGAUGCUGGCUCCCAGCAUAUGGUGCAUUCCUUCGCACACGAUUGUGCUCAUCUGAUUUCAACAAAACAGGAAAAGGCUUGUCACAUAUACAUGGCAGAAUGUUCAUUUGUAAUGUUGAUAUCUCAGUUAUCAAGACAUUUUUUGCCCUACUAAUGCUUAUUGCACAUGUACGGGAUACCAUAAUUUGUAACCAUUUGGCCAUAGAUGUAAAAUGCGGACUGC
This 417-nucleotide small RNA is filed under the name Oryza sativa Japonica Group (Japanese rice). RNAcentral describes it as "sRNA Os09g0278900". The record is from RNAcentral. Lineage: Eukaryota; Viridiplantae; Streptophyta; Magnoliopsida; Poales; Poaceae.